UACGAAGGGGGCUAGCGUUGUUCGGAAUUACUGGGCGUAAAGGGCGCGUAGGCGGUCCUGAUCGUCGGAUGUGAAAGGCCUGGGCUCAACCUGGGAACUGCAUCCGAUACGGCGGGACUGGAGUGUGGGAGAGGUUGGUGGAAUUCCCAGUGUAGAGGUGAAAUUCGUAGAUAUUGGGAAGAACACCGGUGGCGAAGGCGGCCAACUGGACCACAACUGACGCUGAGGCGCGAAAGCGUGGGGAGCAGACAGG
Molecule: ribosomal RNA, 253 nt
Filed under: uncultured bacterium
Lineage: Bacteria
Description: partial 16S ribosomal RNA
Rfam family: Bacterial small subunit ribosomal RNA
Source: RNAcentral